GAGACGUGAUGAGAUUCCUACUUCGGUCCGUGUUGCUGAUGCACCCUGAUAACAACGAAGUCCUGAUUCU
This 70-nucleotide small nucleolar RNA is filed under the name Petromyzon marinus (sea lamprey). Its description in RNAcentral is "Small nucleolar RNA SNORD18 (ENSPMAG00000012039.1)". Lineage: Eukaryota; Metazoa; Chordata; Hyperoartia; Petromyzontiformes; Petromyzontidae. The record is from RNAcentral.